Molecule: ribosomal RNA, 492 nt
Filed under: uncultured bacterium
Lineage: Bacteria
Description: partial 16S ribosomal RNA
Rfam family: Bacterial small subunit ribosomal RNA
Source: RNAcentral
AGUGAACGCUGGCGGUAGGCCUAACACAUGCAAGUCGAACGGCAGCACAGUAAGAGCUUGCUCUUACGGGUGGCGAGUGGCGGACGGGUGAGGAAUACAUCGGAAUCUACUUUUUCGUGGGGGAUAACGUAGGGAAACUUACGCUAAUUCCGCAUACGACCUACGGGUGAAAGCAGUGGAUCUUCGGACCUUGCGCGAUUGAAUGAGCCGAUGUCGGAUUAGCUAGUUGGCGGGGUAAAGGCCCACCAAGGCGACGAUCCGUAGCUGGUCUGAGAGGAUGAUCAGCCACACUGGAACUGAGACACGGUCCAGACUCCUACGGGAGGCAGCAGUGGGGAAUAUUGGACAAUGGGCGCAAGCCUGAUCCAGCCAUACCGCGUGGGUGAAGAAGGCCUUCGGGUUGUAAAGCCCUUUUGUUGGGAAAGAAAAGCAGCAGGUUAAUACCACGCUGUUCUGACGGUACCCAAAGAAUAAGCACCGGCUAACUUCGUG